CGGGAGCGCGCCCGGGCGGGCUGCCCCGCCGGUCGGGAGAGGGGGUGGGGAGGCGGCGAGGAAAAGUAAAGUGACAGCUGGGUCCCGCGCGCAGACUGGGCUCUGACGGGGACGGACUCUUCUUGCUCUGUUGCCCAGGCUGAAGUCCAGUGGUGCAAUCCCAGCUCACUGCAACCUCCGCCUCCCGGGUUCAAGUGAUUUUCCUGCCUCAGCUUCCUGAGUAGCUGGGACUACAGGCAAGAGAAAGAGGCCCACUGCAAUAUGCUGUGAAGAAUACAUAAGAAGUCAAACUGUUGACCUCUUUUCCCCAGCCCGUUCCAAAACUACAUCCCUGAGGAGUUGUGCACCUCUACGGAAAGUUCAGAUGAAAGAGCUAAUUCCCCUUGAUCUCUCUUCUUGUUCAGAGUGGAGGAAAAACAUAUACCAUCCCUUCCAUCAAUCCUCAGCAUAACUUUGCCAGGGACACUGGUAACAAGCUACUUUUACCUCAGAAGUUGGAGAGUAUCACUUGACCCACAUUGUGUAUGUGUAAAUAUCUUUAUUCAGUGUAUAUACAAUAUAUUCUUAAUUUGACUCUCAAAGUUUAUAAUUAGCAUUGAAUGAGUAUGAAACAUUGUUUUCCAAAUACUGUCAGCAAGCUAUUGAAUAUGUUGUUCCUGAUUUAUGAAUGAGAUUUUCAUCAGCAGAAACUUAUGACAAAUGACCAAUUACAUUGUCACUGCUAAGUUCCAAGAGCAUUUCUUUCAGUUAUGCUAUUUAGAGUAUAAACAUCAUACUGAAUUAUUAUUAAACUCCACUCAAAAUUUUUAAUUAAGCCAUCCACAUCAUCUAAGUCUUUUCCCUUCCCCUUCUGUGAACCUUCUUUUUUGAGACAGGGUCUCAGUCUGUCACCCAGGUUGGUGGGCAGUGGUGCGAUGUUGACUCAUUGCAACCUCCACCUCCUGAGUUCAAGUGAUUCUCCUGCCUCAGCCUGCUGGGACUACAGGUGUGCACCACCACUCCCAGGUAAUUUUUGUAUUUUUUGGUAAAGACGGGGUUUCCCUGUAUUUGGCCAGGCUGGUCUCAAACUCCUGACCUCAAGUGUUCUGCCCACCUUGGCCUCCCAAAGUUCUGGGAUUACAGGCAUGAGCCACUGCACCUGGCCUCCAUAAACCAUUUUUUAAUCUGUUAUUUUUAUUUUCCUCUUUCUCUGCUCUUAACCCUCAGUCACAGAAUCAUGUUGCAGGGAGGGCAGGUAGGGGAAAAAGAAAAAGGAAAGGCUACAGCUUGAGUCUAAUUUGUCUCAAUCUAGGAUUCAGAAUGUCAGGUAUGUACUGAGGGUGGUAGAGCAAGCUCUUAGGG
This 1341-nucleotide long non-coding RNA is filed under the name Homo sapiens (human). RNAcentral's name for it is "HSALNT0310733". Lineage: Eukaryota; Metazoa; Chordata; Mammalia; Primates; Hominidae. The record is from RNAcentral.